GUGCCAGCCGCCGCGGUAAUACGGAGGGUGCAAGCGUUAUCCGGAUUUACUGGGUUUAAAGGGUGCGUAGGUGGGUCUGUAAGUCAGUGGUGAAAUCUCUGAGCUUAACUCAGAAACUGCCGUUGAUACUAUCUGUCUUGAAUAUCGUGGAGGUGAGCGGAAUAUGUCAUGUAGCGGUGAAAUGCUUAGAUAUGACAUAGAACACCUAUUGCGAAGGCAGCUUACUACGCAGAGAUUGACGCUCAUGCACGAAAGCGUGGGGAUCAAACAGGAUUAGAUACCCUGGUAGUCC
RNAcentral lists this ribosomal RNA (292 nucleotides) under uncultured bacterium. RNAcentral describes it as "partial 16S ribosomal RNA". It matches the Rfam family "Bacterial small subunit ribosomal RNA", at positions 505 to 796 of the family's 1533-position model. The record is from RNAcentral.